CGUACUAAAACGGCACUUACCGCUACUUCUGAUACUUCUAAAUAGAUGAGUAACUUUUCACCUUCUUUAGGUUUAGCCAAUAAAGGAGGAUUUGAUAAAUAAGUUUUCAAAUCCCUAAGUGCUCGUUGACAAUCUUCAUUCCACUCGAAAUGGUCUUGCUUUUGGAGCGUAGAGAAGAAUCUGAAGCAUUUUUCUGAUGAUUUU
Molecule: long non-coding RNA, 204 nt
Filed under: Nicotiana benthamiana
Lineage: Eukaryota; Viridiplantae; Streptophyta; Magnoliopsida; Solanales; Solanaceae
Description: long non-coding RNA (NBEN_LNC017156)
Source: RNAcentral